Arabidopsis thaliana (thale cress) is the source of this 204-nucleotide long non-coding RNA. RefSeq annotates it as other RNA. The transcript has 2 exons. Lineage: Eukaryota; Viridiplantae; Streptophyta; Magnoliopsida; Brassicales; Brassicaceae. The record is from RefSeq.
CAAAACUUCAUGUGUUGUGAAAACAAAAGUUUUUUGGUAAUGAAAACUCGACAAAGACCAGUUAAAAACGUGUGUAGUAUAACUUACUGCAAGAGAAACCUGGAAACAAGAACCAAAAAAAGUGGGCUUUCUCUGCAUCAUCAUUCCACUUCUGGUCCCCAACUGAAAAGGACAAUCCAAAGCUAGAUCCCUUCAAAUUUUCCU